RNAcentral lists this ribosomal RNA (482 nucleotides) under uncultured bacterium. RNAcentral describes it as "partial 16S ribosomal RNA". It matches the Rfam family "Bacterial small subunit ribosomal RNA", at positions 30 to 507 of the family's 1533-position model. The record is from RNAcentral.
AUUGGACGCUGGCGGCAUGCCUUACACAUGCAAGUCGAACGGUAACAGGUCUUCGGAUGCUGACGAGUGGCGAACGGGUGAGUAAUACAUCGGAACGUGCCCGAUCGUGGGGGAUAACGGAGCGAAAGCUUUGCUAAUACCGCAUACGAUCUACGGAUGAAAGCAGGGGACCGCAAGGCCUUGCGCGGACGGAGCGGCCGAUGGCAGAUUAGGUAGUUGGUGGGAUAAAAGCUUACCAAGCCGACGAUCUGUAGCUGGUCUGAGAGGACGACCAGCCACACUGGGACUGAGACACGGCCCAGACUCCUACGGGAGGCAGCAGUGGGGAAUUUUGGACAAUGGGCGAAAGCCUGAUCCAGCCAUGCCGCGUGCAGGAUGAAGGCCUUCGGGUUGUAAACUGCUUUUGUACGGAACGAAAAGACUCUUUCUAAUAAAGAGGGUCCAUGACGGUACCGUAAGAAUAAGCACCGGCUAACUACGUG